UCUCAGCAAAGUCUGAGUCACAGCCUCAGCCUCCCUCACAGUUGGGCUCUGUGGUCACAGGUCAUCUCCCCUGCAUCAGGGGCCUCGUCCCGGGCUCCCCAGCCACUCUUCCCGGGGGGACCCCAAGUAUCACAGCCACUGUUGGGGCUCAGCAGGGGCUCAUCCCUCCCCUCCUCCCCUCUGCUCUUACCCUCUGCUGUCACCUCUGCAGGCCUGGGGGGUGGUCCUGGGGGUGUGACCCCAUCCUCAUUCCGGAGGAGCUGAGCCCUGGUCACCGUCUUCUCAGGCCGGGUGGUGGCACCGUGCGGGCAUAUCACAGGCCUGGGGGGGCACCACAGCGCCAGAGGGCCCUGAAUUCCACACGUGUCCCCCCAGCCAGCAGCCCCACGUCCUCUUGCCAACUGGGCCAUGACUCCUCCUCCUGACUGGGCUCUAGGGGCUCCAAAUGUCAGGGAGGACUUUGAUUUGCUGUCCCACUGCCUGGAUGUUCUUCCUCCGGGCAUCUUACGGCCCAGCCCUCCUGUCUUCUCUGUUCUGAUGUCAUCCAAUCCGACAGGCCGUCUGCCGCCACCAGCCACCCUGUGGAAGGGGCAAAGCAGCCCCGGCAUACCCCGCACCCCCUAACCUGUGUGCUUCGGCUCUGCCCCCCAGCACCCCCAGGAUGCCAGCUCCAGCUCUGGAGGACAGCCUUGGCCCCCAGCACCUACAGUCGGUGUGAACUCCUGGUCCAGAUAAAUACAUAGAAAGUCAGGAAGAUUCAGCAGCUUGUCAAGAACACAUGGCUUUAAGUGCCCUGGGCAUUGCUGUGACCUGUACUAUCAGACCCAACGUGUUUAAGGGGAGCUAGAAAUCUGGAUUUUAUGAGAAAUCUGAGUUUAUCUGUUGGCACCUCAUUCAAUCGUCCUAUGACGCUGUGCCAGGAUCCUUCCUGAGAAUGCUAUCAGCCGGGCUCGUCUGCCUCGUGGGAAACCUGGGGGUUCUGCAGAAUUGGCCUAGCUUCCCAACACAUCCUGCCACGUGCCUGGACCCUGCUGCUUCACCUCAGUGCUCCAGCCUCACCCCAUCCAGGCACGCUGCUCCCAUCAGCACUGCAUGCCUCUCAGGAAGGUCCUGCAGGGUACCUACCAAAAUAAAGAAGCCCAAAGGAGACAGUUGGGAAGAGCAAAAGAUAGUAGAAAAGAGAACAAAAUCUCGGGCAGCCUGAGUGGCUCAGCGAUUUUGCAUCUGCCUUCGGCUCAGGUCAUGGUCCGGGGGUCACAGGAUUUAGUCCCACGUCAGGCUACCCACAGGGAGCCUGC
Molecule: long non-coding RNA, 1298 nt
Organism: Canis lupus familiaris (dog)
Lineage: Eukaryota; Metazoa; Chordata; Mammalia; Carnivora; Canidae
Exons: 3
Source: RefSeq, a predicted model, not a curated record